Cinara cedri is the source of this 913-nucleotide non-coding RNA. The record is from the annotation of a GenBank genome assembly. Lineage: Eukaryota; Metazoa; Arthropoda; Insecta; Hemiptera; Aphididae.
GAUUAAUCUAUUAAUUAAAAUAUUUCGUGGGUAGUAUUUUGCCGUGUUAAAUGAGAUGAGGAAUAUAAAACAAAAUAUUAACUUUAACAAAAUAAAUCUCGACGUUUAUUAACAAAAAAAACUGCAAAGCAUACAAAUUAAAACGAGUUUCUGGCAUAGUAAAGAGUAGAAAAAAACUAGAUUACUUAUAUUUUAUAAACGUCCAUAAAUAUAUUAUAGAAUCAUAUGAAAUUCUUAUCGUUGAUAAGCACAGUCAACUACAGAGUAUAUAUAAAAUUAAAACAACAUUAUACAAUUUCAAAAUUAACUUAAAUUGCCAAAUCUCAAAAUUAUGCAUUGUAGAUGUUAUGCAUUUGUGAUAACCGCUUUUUGAAAAAUAUUGUUUCUUGACAUAAUUUAAUAUAGGAGCCACUUAAACAAUACGUUUUUCGGGAGUCAAUUCUGCAGCAAAGGUCGGUGGAGAAUAGGCUUGAUUUUGGGGUAACCGUCUCAAUCGUCAUCAGUCGGGUCGCCAAUUAAUUUGGGACCUGACUUUAAUUAUACGUAGUGUACUGCCUGUAUACAAAAACCACAAGGGUCACAACUCGGAUGCAGCCGUCCCACCGGUCACGCCGUAUAAAAUAUUAUUGCCGGGUCUGGCCGCUCUUUGAAAUCCACUCUCUCGAGACCGCGUUUAUUAUUAUACUUGUUCGUCGCGCGCAAAACACCGUUUAGACGGCUCCGUUUAAAAAACAAAAACGCUUUCCCUUGCUCGACAAACAUUGUUUCCUAGCAAGGUUCGUAUAAUACUGUUAUAUAAUAUAUUAUAUUUGUUGAUGUCGAGAAAAAAAAAAAAACUGUACAGAUAUCGGUAUAAGAUAACAGAAUAUGUAUAAUAAUAUAUAUAUAUUUUAUUUACACUGUUGAUUAAGAC